GACAGAGGGUGCAAACGUUGUUCGGAAUUACUGGGCGUAAAGCGCGUGUAGGCGGCUAAGUAAGUCGGGCGUGAAAUCCCACGCUCAACCGUGGAAGUGCACUCGAAACUGCAUAGCUAGAGUCCUGGAGAGGAAGGUGGAAUGCUUGGUGUAGAGGUGAAAUUCGUAGAUAUCAAGCGGAACACCGGUGGCGAAGGCGGCCUUCUGGACAGUGACGUGACGCUGAGACGCGAAAGC
This 237-nucleotide ribosomal RNA is filed under the name uncultured bacterium. RNAcentral describes it as "partial 16S ribosomal RNA". It matches the Rfam family "Bacterial small subunit ribosomal RNA", at positions 524 to 760 of the family's 1533-position model. The record is from RNAcentral.